RNAcentral lists this ribosomal RNA (2280 nucleotides) under human gut metagenome. RNAcentral describes it as "bacterial LSU rRNA". It matches the Rfam family "Bacterial large subunit ribosomal RNA", at positions 3 to 2297 of the family's 2925-position model. The record is from RNAcentral.
UCAAGCUACUAAGGGCAUACGGUGGAUGCCUAGGCGCCAAGAGCCGAAGAAGGACGCGGUAAGCUGCGAAAAGCCACGGGGAACUGCAAGCAAGUAUUGAUCCGUGGAUAUCCGAAUGGGGAAACCCGGCCAUCGUCAUGGAUGGUCACCCGCAAGGGAGGGAACCUGGGGAACUGAAACAUCUAAGUACCCGGAGGAAGAGAAAUCAAACGAGAUGCCCACAGUAGCGGCGAGCGAAGAGGGCAGAGCCCAAACCGAGAAGCUCCGGCUUUUCGGGGUUGAGGACCGGCAGAAUCGAAGUCAGGCCUAGUUGAAUUACCUGGAAAGGUAAGCGAGAGAGGGUAAAAGCCCCGUAGACGAAAGGCAGAGCAGAGAGGCCGAGAUCCAGAGUACCACGAAGCACGAGGAAUUUUGUGGGAAGCAGGGGGGACCACCCUCCAAGGCUAAAAACUACUUGGCGACCGAUAGCGCAUAGUACCGUGAGGGAAAGGUGAAAAGAACCCCGGGAGGGGAGUGAAAUAGUACCUGAAACCGUAUGUCUACAAGCAGUCGAAGCGAAAGCGACGGCGUGCCUAUUGAAGAAUGAACCAACGAGUUAUCUGCACUAGCGAGGUUAAGUGGAAGACACGGAGCCGCAGCGAAAGCGAGUCUUAAGAGGGCGCUAGUUAGUGUAGGUAGACCCGAAACCGCAGUGAUCUACCCAUGUCCAGGUUGAAGCGCAGGUAAAAUUGCGUGGAGGACCGAACCGGUGAGCGUUGAAAAGCUUUCGGAUGAGAUGUGGGUAGGGGUGAAAUUCCAAUCGAACGCGGAGAUAGCUGGUUCUCCCCGAAAUAGCUUUAGGGCUAGCCUGAGGUAGUAAGUAUAGGCGGUAGAGCACUGAUCGGGCUAGGGGCCGUAAAGGUUACCGAACCCUGUCAAACUCCGAAUGGAUAUACUGUAGAGCCUUGGAGUCAGACUACGAGUGAUAAGAUCCGUGGUCAAAAGGGAAACAGCCCAGACCACCAGCUAAGGUCCCCAAUGUCGUACUAAGUGGAAAAGGAUGUGGGGUUUCAUAAACAACCAGGAUGUUGGCUCAGAAGCAGCCACCAUUUAAAGAGUGCGUAAUAGCUCACUGGUCGAGAGACCCUGCGCCGAAGAUUCCCGGGGCUAAAGUACGAAACCGAAGCUGUGGCUGUAUACGUAAAGUAUACGGGGUAGGGGAGCGUUCCCAUAGGGUAGAAGUCGAACUGGAAGGUUCGGUGGACUUGUGGGAAGUGAGAAUGUUGGUAUGAGUAGCGAAAAGAAAGGUGAGAAUCCUUUCCACCGAAAGCAUAAGGAUUCCUGAGCAACGAUCGUCGUCUCAGGGUAAGUCGGGACCUAAUCCGAGGCAGAGAGCGUAGGAGAUGGACAACUGGUUGAUAUUCCAGUACCGGUAGUAAUUGUUUGAGCAAUGGAGUGACACAGAAGGGCAGGCAAGCAUGCGAAUGGAAGAGCAUGUGUAAGCGUGUAGGGUGGUGCAUAGGCAAAUCCGUGCACUGAAAGCCUGAGGCGUGAUGCGGAGUGAGCAGAGAUGCGAGCGAAGUUGUUGACCCCACACUGUCGAGAAAAGCUUCUAGUGAGAGAGCUACCGCCCGUACCGUAAACCGACACAGGUAUGCGGGGAGAGAAUCCUAAGGUGCGCGGGAGAACCCUCGUUAAGGAACUCGGCAAAAUGUACCCGUAACUUCGGGAUAAGGGUAGCCACUGUUGUGAAGUCCCAUGCGGAUGGAGCAUAGAGUGGUCGCAGAGAAGAGGCCCAAGCGACUGUUUACCAUAAACACAGGUGCCUGCUAAAGCGAAAGCUGACGUAUAGGUGCUGACACCUGCCCAGUGCCGGAAGGUUAAGGAAGGAUGUUCGGAUUAGUCCAAAGCAUUCGACUGAAGCCCCGGUGAACGGCGGCCGUAACUAUAACGGUCCUAAGGUAGCGAAAUUCCUUGUCGGGUAAGUUCCGACCCGCACGAAAGGUGUAACGAUUUGGGCACUGUCUCAACGAGGGACCCGGUGAAAUUGAAAUACCUGUGAAGAUGCAGGUUACCCGCGACUGGACAGAAAGACCCCAUGGAGCUUUACUGUAACCUGACAUUGGGUUUUGAUACAUUACGUACAGGAUAGGUGGGAGGCAUGGAAAGCUGGACGCUAGUCUGGCUGGAGCCGACGUUGGGAUACCACCCUUGAUGUAUUGAAAUUCUAACCGCGAGAGUAACGAAAUCCGGGACAGUGUCAGGCGGGCAGUUUGACUGGGGCGGUCGCCUCCGAAAGAG